ACUCUGUUGUCCAGACUGGAGUUCUGUGGCAUUAAUGUGGCUCACUGCAACCUCGAACUCCUGGCUUCAAGCAAUCCUCCUGUCUCAGCUUCCCAAGUAGCUAAGAGUACAGGUGUGUGCCCCAUGCCCAGAUAAUUAAAAAAAAAAAAAACAUUUUGUAGAGAUAGGGUUUUGCUAUGUUGCCCAGGUGGGUCUUGAACUCUUGGCCUUAAGCAGUCAUCCCACCUUGAUCUUCCAAGUCAUUGGGAUUGCAGGCAUGAGCCACUGUGCCCAGCCUAAUCUUUGUGCAAAGAUGUUAGGGGGCAGAGGGCUGGCAAUCUCCUGGGGAUGACAUGCAGAAAGUCAAACACCACUGUGAUGGUUAAUACUGAGUGUCAACUUGAUUGGAUUGAAGGAUACAAAGUAUUGAUCCUGAGUGUGUCUGUGAGGGUGUUGCCAAAAGAAAUUAACAUUUGAGUCAGUGGGCGGGGGAAGGCAGAUCCACCCUUAAUCUGGUGGGCACAAUCUAAUCAGCUGCCAGCGAAUAUAAAGCAGGUAGAAAAACGUGAAAAGGAAAGAGGGGCCUAGCCUCCUAACUUACAUCUUUCUCCCAUGCUGGAUGCUUCCUGCCCUCAAACAUCGGACUCCACAUUCUUCAGUUCUGGGACUCAGACUGGCUCUUCUUGCUCCUCUGCUUGCAGACAGCCUGUUGUGGAACCUUGUGAUCAGGUUGGGCUGGAAAAUCCAUUUCUCACGGUUCCAAAGGCUGGGAAGCCAGGGUCAAGGUCCUGCAGAUCCAGUGUCUGGCGAAGCCCUUCUUCCGGGUUUGGAAAUGGCUGCCUUCUCCUUCUAUCCUCACACGGCAGAGAGAGAAAGAGACUGUGAGAAACAGAGGAAGUACUCCAGGGAGUUCUGCAAUGUCUUCUAAAAGGAUGCUAAUCACAUCAUGGGGGCUCCAUCUUUGUGACCUAAUCACUUCCCAAAGGCCCCACAUCCUAAUACCGUCACAUGGGAAGUUUUCCCUUUAUCAAGAAGACCUGAAGCAAAGAGAGGGUGGUGAUCUGUCCAGGUAAGGAAGCUGCUCUUACCUUACAACUUUCGUGGUAUUGCUUGGCCCUUCUAGUCAUCAGAAACGCUCUUUGCUUAGGUUUCACCUUAACACCGUAGUCAAUCAACUGGAUGUUUUUGUUCAAAGUCUUCAUCCAGCUAACUUUGACCUCAAUAGAGAAACAUGGGAGAUGACUGGCUGAAUAGUUUAUUUUUCCCACAAAUGCUUUAGCAUUAUAUAGACAUGGAUGUAGUGUGUCCUCAGGCAUCAUAAGGAACUGACAAUUUUUGGUUUUGAAAAAUGAACUAAACUUGUCCCGAUAAUUUUGCCUGGCACUGCAACUCAAUGAAUAAUUCAGCUAAUUUACACCACAGUCAUUUGUACAUUAUGAGUGUACACGCUUUGAAAGUAUUUCUGUACCUUUGUCAUAUUGCCUAUUAAAUGUGUUCUGAAAAUAGAUACCAUGUGUGAAUGUAAGUCCUUGUUUAAAGAGUAUGUGAAUUGACACCGUGGGACCUCGUGAACAAUCUUUGCCACUUCUACAGAUUAUUUUUAUAUGGCGAUGGCUAGGAAACAGACUCUCCUUUUUAAAGGUUUUGAGAACAAACUUCUCUCAAGUUGAAUAUAUAUGUCUGGACAAGAAUAAGUUUCUUGGUUCUACAGUACUGUUAAACUUUGUACUUAUGUCUUUAUAAUCUAUCAACUGUUUAAAAUUUUUAGGGUUAGUUUAAUAAACAUCCUUGAAGUGUUCACACUAGUUAAGGAAUUCUGUCAGCUGCUCCCUCCUGGGGGUGAGAGUGAGUGGGAGAAGGUGGUGGCAGAGAAAGGAGAGGCAUUGCUGACUCCAGCCCGGAGCUCAGGGUCCUGUUGAUUACUUUCUAUUUCUCUGUCCCAGGGCGUCUGACACAGAGAAAGUGCAUAAGAUGCAGGAAUGAAUCACUGAGUGCCUGGGCUUUCUUAUCAGAACCUGUACAAUUGGCACAAGUACAGAACUAGUUUCUCCUUGGACAUGUUGCCUACUAUGUACACACAUGUCAAAUAUUUUGUUCAAAAUGUUUUUUCUUUUCCAUGCUGUCAUUUAGUAUUGAAAAUUAACAUCUGUGUCAUAUUGUAGGUGACAUGUAACAUUUUUGUUUUGCAUCUAUAUUUUCUACAUUAUAUGUGAUUAUUUUGCAAUAAAAAUGUGAUUGACAUAUUCACCAAAAUUAUCCUGACAUCAACUAGCAAACAUGCCUGCUGAUAUGUGGCCCCAAUCUGUGUCAUGUUCUCCGUAGCCAGUAUCUACAGCAAGGUUUUCAUAGAGAUUUUCUAAGUUGCUUUUUUAUAGGCUGCUAUUUUUUCUGACUUUGAUCUUUAUUUAUUGGUACAAAUUGUCCCUGACUUACCAUGGCUGGACUUACAAUUUUUCAACUUUACUAAGAGUUUAUUGGAAGGUAACGCCAUCGUAAGUCAGGGAGCAUAUGUACCACAAUUGGUUCAGCUUACUAUUAUUUGACUCUACAAUGGCUUCAUUGAAGUAUUGAAUGCAUCUUUAACACACUUCAUUUUCUUCUUAUGGUGGGUUUAUGGGAUGUAACCCAUUCAGAAGUUGAGGAGCAUCCAUAUAUCUAAGGUGUUCUUACUCAUGGGAAUAUGCUCGUCACUGUGCAGCCCCUUCAUAGAGUUCCAACAAACUAUCCACAAUGCAAUUUUAAUACUGUUUUCAGAAUUAUUUUGUAUAUCUGGACAUAAGUCAAUUUUCACAGAAAGAACAUUUAGAUUAUCAUAAAUUGGGCCUUUUCGUAUUUAAUUUCAUACAGAAAACAUAAUGCAUUGCAAUAAACUUGCAUCUUAAAAUCACAAAAGGCCAUAUUCUCAACCCCCUUUUCUCUUUUAUUUAGGUCAGAUUCCUAUCAGUGUGGCUUAUGUAAUAAAAUCUGUUGUUGCCACAGUCCUAUGUCACUCUUUCCAAUAACCUACAGCCCAUCAGUCUCUCUGAGAAGGCUGCCCUGUAGCAAAUCAUUAAAUCCUUUCAAGAACCAAGAAAACAUGGAAAAUAAAUGCAAAAGGAGAAGAUAGCUUAACUCAGGCUGGUGUUUGCAUGAUCAUGGAAACUCAUGUUAUGUUGUUUGGAAUUUUGAACAGGGAAGUUGGAGGAUGGAAACGUGCAAUCCUCUUAGAUGGUGAAACUAACUUGUAUCAGGAAUUUAUACCAGGUGCGGCAUUGAACUGAGCUGGAUUUCCAUACAACAACCUGGGAAGUGAGCCUGCCAAGAGGAUGAACACCUAGAUAAUGGACCUACAGUUCACUCAGACUCAAAAUAAGGAUUUAGGCGAGUGUUGUGUUGCUACUAUUUGUUUUCAGUUACUCCCACAAAUGGACAGGUAACCACUCAGCUAGAGAUCCUAGGGUGGCUGAGAAGGACGAGGAAGGCACAAAAAUCCCUGUGGGGAUGGCCAAAAGAGUUUUCCCAUGGGCUCUUACACUGAGAACUUUACUCCUUUAUAGUCUGAACAGCAGACAGCUCAGAGGUCAAAGGAAACUGCCCCUUCUGUGGAAAGGACUCCAUGCAUGUGUCUUUGUGCCUCUUCCUGGUCCUUCAUCUCUGUCUGUGGGUACCUUUCUUUCCAUCACAAUCAUCCUCUGGAUCACAUACUACACAGGACUCAUAAGGGUGCAGAGGGUCAGGGAUGCUGGAAAUGUCACCCAACAGCAAGGUGAUAGAGUUCCGGACAGAAUUUGAAUGGUACUUUCUAUGGCUCAUGUCUCUCGGUUUUCUGCAGUCCUUGCUGAGUUUCUUAAUCCAGUGUCUGGAGACCUCCAAGGUCAAAUGCAUGCACAUUUAAAUUUAAAUUCUAGGUGUAAAUAAAGGUAAUUUCUAGAUUUGCUUCCAUCUUGAUUUUCCAUGUCAUAGUUCUAUUCAAUUAGCAUAAGUAACUCAGAGGUGACAGUCAUGUAGAGAAUGUACUGAUGGGUGAUUUUGAUUUUUGUUAUUUUCCUACAGUGUUAAAGACCUGGAAGCUUUUUAAUAAUAGUAAAAAGUGCGCAACCAAAAAUUAUUGUGUUUUUUUUUUUUGAGAAAUGAUGCCAUUAUUUCACAUGAAUGCUCUACUUAAAAAUAGAGGUAGAGAAUCCAGGGAAAAAAAGACCCAGGAAGGUAACCUUUAAUUUGAAAUUGGAUGCAUUGUGAUACUUGUG
This 4205-nucleotide long non-coding RNA is filed under the name Homo sapiens (human). RNAcentral's name for it is "HSALNT0122769". The record is from RNAcentral. Lineage: Eukaryota; Metazoa; Chordata; Mammalia; Primates; Hominidae.